This 19-nucleotide small nuclear RNA is filed under the name Arabidopsis thaliana (thale cress). Its description in RNAcentral is "snRNA_12256". Lineage: Eukaryota; Viridiplantae; Streptophyta; Magnoliopsida; Brassicales; Brassicaceae. The record is from RNAcentral.
UAGCCAAGGACAACUUGCC